This 253-nucleotide ribosomal RNA is filed under the name uncultured bacterium. Its description in RNAcentral is "partial 16S ribosomal RNA". It matches the Rfam family "Bacterial small subunit ribosomal RNA", at positions 524 to 776 of the family's 1533-position model. The record is from RNAcentral.
UACGUAGGGUGCAGGCGUUAAUCGGAAUUACUGGGCGUAAAGGGUGCGCAGGCGGCGGCUCAGGUCAGAUGUGAAAGCCCCGGGCUUAACCUGGAAUGUGCGUUUGAAACUAGGUCACUAGAGUUUGGUAGAGGGGGGUAGAAUUCCUGGUGUAGCAGUGAAAUGCGUAGAUAUCAGGAGGAAUACCAAUGGCGAAGGCAGCCCCCUGGAUUAAAACUGACGCUGAGGCACGAAAGCAUGGGGAGCAAACAGG